GCGUCAUCACAAAAUCGCUAAUUUCCCAUCCAUGCGGUGUGCUCCGCCGUCAAUGUCAAGUUCAUCAGUUCGCUGGAUCUCUCCACCUGACACCAGUCACACUGAUUCCUGUAAUCUGUAAUUCUGUCGCUAAACAAGGAAUUCAGACAUUCUGGAAAGGAGCAAUCGGCUCAAGUGUGCUCUGGGGCCUCACGAAUGUUACGGAAAUUGUGCUCGGCGAUCUUAUGGGGUUGCCACGUACUUUUGUGGUUAAUGGAAGUGCUGAAAAGUAUUGGAAACAUAUUGUUCUGAAGGGGUAACGGAAUUAAGACGAAAAAAAAAAUUAAAAAUUGAUAAUUUUCAGAGUAACAUUUGUAACAAUGACUCCAUUCUACAUCUCAUCAUUCAUUGAAACUGUUCGAGUAGGCUACAAACUACAAACUACAAAAGCUCUCAGCCUCAACAAUCCAAUUUUCAGAGCGAAUCCGGAAUUGGUGGUGAAGACAAUAAAAUUCUGGAUGUUCUUGUGAAGGGUGUGGAUCGAAUGCGAUAUUUUUUGACUUCGGGACGAGAUCCGUCCAGGAGAUUCUCGAUUAUUCAUUUGGCUAUUCCAACUGCGGGAUUUCAGUGAGUUUUUGCUGGAAAAUCACGAAAAAUGACCAAAUUUAGUGAAAAAAUACGCGAAAAUCAGGUCAGAAUAUGAAAAAUUGGUUGAGGCUCAGACUACAAACUACAAUUUUUGUUUAGCCUCAACCAAGGAAAAAUAUGUGAAAAUUACUGAUUUUUCCUGGUUUUUAGUGUUUUUUAGUGAAAACUCAUCGAUUUCAGUGGGAAAAUUUUAAAAAAUGUCUUCAUGUUUCCCGGAUUCUCCAACGAAAAAUUGGAAAUUUAAGGAAAUUUAACUUGGUGAGGCUGAGAACGAAGUGUAGUUUGUAGUCUCUGGGCCUCAACUAAAUUUCGAACAGUUUUUUAAAGAUAAAAAGCCGGAAAACACAUUUUUGUUCAAAAAAACUAGUUUUUCAAAGAAAAAUUCGUUCGAAAAAGUUGAAAAACGGCUGAAAACUCGCAAAAAUCGAAGAUAAUUUGUUGAGGCUCCAAAAUUUGUAGUUUGUAGUCUCUGAGCCUUAACCAAUUCAUGAAUUGUGCAUCGAAAAAUCGAAUAAAUCCCAGUUUUCAACAACAAAAAUUGAAAAAAUUUUUUUUUUUUAGAGUUGGUCACUACAUGCUCCAAACGGCCCUUUACCAUCAAUUCUUCCGAAUGGCGAAACGAUAUGUAAACCGAAAAUCGCCGGCGGAAAAGACGACUUAUCACGAUUUCCUGCCCCAAAUGUUCGCUCAAACAUCAUCAAUGGUGUUAACUGAUUUGAUACUUUAUCCAUUUGAAACAAUUGUUCAUCGAAUGUAUAUUCAAGGAACACGAACACUUAUUGAUAAUAUGGAUACAGGAUUAUCAGCAGUUUCGAUGACUGUCAAAUAUUCCGGUUAUUUUGAUUGUGUUCGACAAGUUCUUGAAACGGAAGGUUUUUGGGCACUUUAUGCG
This 1519-nucleotide small RNA is filed under the name Caenorhabditis elegans. Its description in RNAcentral is "Unclassified non-coding RNA Y40B1B.11". The record is from RNAcentral. Lineage: Eukaryota; Metazoa; Nematoda; Chromadorea; Rhabditida; Rhabditidae.